AAACCCACUUCUAACCCAGACAUAGUUGAAUGCAAUUUUCCAGAGCAAAGAGUUGGGGGUGGAUAUGGAAGUUGCAACAUCGUAAUCCCGCAGGCAGCUUUAACAUGUGGUUUCCUUUAAACGUCAUCAGAAGGAGGGUGAGGUGAUCACUAGAAGGUGCCAAGUAUUUCCAUUAGCCAACUGCUUUUGGAUGCGGUGGUUGUGCUGAUCACGGGAUGUUUGCUCUCCAUGCCGGGCUUCUUUUUUGAUGGGCAGGUGGCAUGGUGGCAGCUCUGCUUUGCUCUCUGUCCUCCAUCUUUGCGUUUAGCCAGCGCCACAAGUGGGUGCACAUUUGUCUCUGCCGUCUAACACUUUGACUUCUUGUGGAAAGGAUGCUUUUGGUCAGUUUUCUUAAUUCCACUCAUUUGGACUUCAAACCCAAAAUUAUGGUGUCGUGUAAGGAACAAAAGGAACCCAUUUCUUUUGGACUUAAAAAGGGCCAAGAUAAAGGGCAAAAAGUAGCAGAGAGUCCCCUUGUUUUUGUAUUUUUUUUUCUUCUGGGAAAAUUAAAACAGAGACCCCUUUAUUGUAAUUUCAUUGAACUAUCAUGGCUUGCUUUUUGCAGCUGGAUUUAGGCGCAUCUUGCCUUGUGCAACUUCCAGAAGUUUUUCAGCAGACAUACGUUUAAAGACAAUUUCAUUGUUCUAAUUGGUAUAAGAAUGAAUAUCAUUGUUGUUCCAAGAGAAAGCAGCAAUGAGAAUACUGCAGCUAAUGAGAAGUGUCAAGUGCAGCAAUGACAGUCAUUUGUUUUCUUUUGGUAGUUAAGGGGUAGAACCCAGGCUAACACCUAAAAAAAGGGGAUAAGGGAAAAUAAUGGAUGGCAGUGUUUUACUCCCUCUUUAAUGCAUCUGAUAAUGCAUAGAGAGUCUGGCUCAAUUUCCAGAUUUCGGACUUGAAGGCUCUUAGCAACACUGCCAUAUGAAGGAAGAAAUUGUAUGAUUGAACCACCAAUGGCCCAUUUCAUCGGCACUAAUUGCAACCACUUUCAUCUGUAUUUUUGCACUGCAAUAAAUGCUAUUCAAUUAGGAACCAUACCAAGACAGACUUCAGGGAAAAAAGCAGAAAGACCCAUCGUGAUCUCUUUGUUGCCUAGUUGAAUUCAUAAGCAAUCUCUUAUGGAUAUUUGUUCCAUCAACUACAGUAGUGCUUAUUUUUUUUCAUUUAAAGAGGUAUGCCUGCUCCAUUAAUGUGUCAUCAAGGACAGUAGUCUUCUUUGUCCUUUGAAACUCCACACAUAUAUAC
Molecule: long non-coding RNA, 1281 nt
Filed under: Theobroma cacao (cacao)
Lineage: Eukaryota; Viridiplantae; Streptophyta; Magnoliopsida; Malvales; Malvaceae
Description: long non-coding RNA (TCAC_LNC002187)
Source: RNAcentral